GGGAUAUUGCGCAAUGGGGGAAACCCUGACGCAGCAACGCCGCGUGGAGGAUGACGGUUUUCGGAUUGUAAACUCCUUUUAUAAGGGACGAAACCAGACGGUACCUUAUGAAUAAGCUCCGGCUAACUACGUGCCAGCAGCCGCGGUAAUACGUAGGGAGCAAGCGUUGUCCGGAUUUACUGGGUGUAAAGGGUGCGUAGGCGGCUUGGCAAGUCAGGUGUGAAAUGCAGAGGCUCAACCUCUGAACUGCACUUGAAACUGUCAGGCUUGAGUGAAGUAGAGGCAGGCGGAAUUCCCUGUGUAGCGGUGAAAUGCGUAGAGAUAGGGAGGAACACCAGUGGCGAAGGCGGCCUGCUGGGCUUUAACUGACGCUCAGGCACGAAAGCGUGGGUAGCAAACA
RNAcentral lists this ribosomal RNA (400 nucleotides) under uncultured bacterium. RNAcentral's name for it is "bacterial SSU rRNA". It matches the Rfam family "Bacterial small subunit ribosomal RNA", at positions 358 to 774 of the family's 1533-position model. The record is from RNAcentral.